AGGACGAACGCUGGCGGCGUGCCUAAAACAUGCAAGUCGAACGCGAUGGCCCUUCGGGGCCUGGGAGUGGCGAACGGCGGAGUAAUACGUAAGCAACGUGCCCUGAAGUCUGGGAUAUACCGGGGAAACCCGGGGCAAUACCAGAUGUGGUCACUGUCUGGCAUCAGGCGGUGAUUAAACGGUUUUUCGCUUCAGGAGCGGCUUACGGCCUAUCAGCUAGUUGGCGGGGUAACGGCCCACCAAGGCUUCGACGGGUAACUGGUCUGAGAGGACGACCAGUCCGAGUGGGACUGAGACACGGCCCACACACCUACGGGUGGCAGCAGUUGGGAAUCUUGCACAAUGGGGGCAACCCUGAUGCAGCGACGCCGCGUGGAGGACGAAGGAUUUAGGUCUGUAAACUCCUUUUGCCAGGAAAGACUUAGGACGGUACCUGGCGAAUAAGCUCCGGCUAACUACGUGCCAGCAGCCGCGGUAAUACGUAGGGAGCGAGCGUUGUCCGGAUUUACUGGGCGUAAAGGGCGCGUAGGCGGUCUGUUAAGCGUGAAGUGAAAUCUCCAGGGCUCAACCCGGAAACUGCUUUGCGAACUGGCAGACUAGAGGAAGGUAGAGGUAAGUGGAAUUCCCGGUGUAGCGGUGACAUGCAUUGAUACCGGGAGGAACACCCAUGGCGAAGGCAGCUUACUGGACCUUAUCUGACGCUGAGGCGCGAAAGCGUGGGUAGCAAACAGGAUUAGAUACCCUGGUAGUCCACGCCCUAAACGAUGGACACUAGGCGUCGGGGGUAUCGACCCCCCCGGUGCCGCAGCUAACGCAAUAAGUGUCCCG
Molecule: ribosomal RNA, 828 nt
Filed under: uncultured bacterium
Lineage: Bacteria
Description: bacterial SSU rRNA
Rfam family: Bacterial small subunit ribosomal RNA
Source: RNAcentral